Molecule: ribosomal RNA, 1371 nt
Filed under: uncultured bacterium
Lineage: Bacteria
Description: bacterial SSU rRNA
Rfam family: Bacterial small subunit ribosomal RNA
Source: RNAcentral
GAUGAACGCUGGCGGCGUGCCUAAUACAUGCAAGUCGAGCGAACGGACGAGAAGCUUGCUUCUCUGAUGUUAGCGGCGGACGGGUGAGUAACACGUGGAUAACCUACCUAUAAGACUGGGAUAACUUCGGGAAACCGGAGCUAAUACCGGAUAAUAUUUUGAACCGCAUGGUUCAAAAGUGAAAGACGGUCUUGCUGUCACUUAUAGAUGGAUCCGCGCUGCAUUAGCUAGUUGGUAAGGUAACGGCUUACCAAGGCAACGAUGCAUAGCCGACCUGAGAGGGUGAUCGGCCACACUGGAACUGAGACACGGUCCAGACUCCUACGGGAGGCAGCAGUAGGGAAUCUUCCGCAAUGGGCGAAAGCCUGACGGAGCGACGCCGCGUGAGUGAUGAAGGUCUUCGGAUCGUAAAACUCUGUUAUUAGGGAAGAACAUAUGUGUAAGUAACUGUGCACAUCUUGACGGUACCUAAUCAGAAAGCCACGGCUAACUACGUGCCAGCAGCCGCGGUAAUACGUAGGUGGCAAGCGUUAUCCGGAAUUAUUGGGCGUAAAGCGCGCGUAGGCGGUUUUUUAGUCUGAUGUGAAAGCCCACGGCUCAACCGUGGAGGGUCAUUGGAAACUGGAAAACUUGAGUGCAGAAGAGGAAAGUGGAAUUCCAUGUGUAGCGGUGAAAUGCGCAGAGAUAUGGAGGAACACCAGUGGCGAAGGCGACUUUCUGGUCUGUAACUGACGCUGAUGUGCGAAAGCGUGGGGAUCAAACAGGAUUAGAUACCCUGGUAGUCCACGCCGUAAACGAUGAGUGCUAAGUGUUAGGGGGUUUCCGCCCCUUAGUGCUGCAGCUAACGCAUUAAGCACUCCGCCUGGGGAGUACGACCGCAAGGUUGAAACUCAAAGGAAUUGACGGGGACCCGCACAAGCGGUGGAGCAUGUGGUUUAAUUCGAAGCAACGCGAAGAACCUUACCAAAUCUUGACAUCCUUUGACAACUCUAGAGAUAGAGCUUUCCCCUUCGGGGGACAAAGUGACAGGUGGUGCAUGGUUGUCGUCAGCUCGUGUCGUGAGAUGUUGGGUUAAGUCCCGCAACGAGCGCAACCCUUAAGCUUAGUUGCCAUCAUUAAGUUGGGCACUCUAAGUUGACUGCCGGUGACAAACCGGAGGAAGGUGGGGAUGACGUCAAAUCAUCAUGCCCCUUAUGAUUUGGGCUACACACGUGCUACAAUGGACAAUACAAAGGGCAGCGAAACCGCGAGGUCAAGCAAAUCCCAUAAAGUUGUUCUCAGUUCGGAUUGUAGUCUGCAACUCGACUACAUGAAGCUGGAAUCGCUAGUAAUCGUAGAUCAGCAUGCUACGGUGAAUACGUUCCCGGGUCU